This 1182-nucleotide long non-coding RNA is filed under the name Homo sapiens (human). RNAcentral describes it as "HSALNT0106865". Lineage: Eukaryota; Metazoa; Chordata; Mammalia; Primates; Hominidae. The record is from RNAcentral.
UGUGAAAUUAAUGUUCCAGUAGCAUAAAGACAGUAUUUGAUUUCCCAGAUAUAAUUGACCAUGGGUCAUUAUGUUCAUGGAGCAUCUUAAAGAACUAGUGUUCCAGGAAGCAAACAUUGAUAAUGUCAUGUUAGAGAAGCCUGUCUUUGUUACUGAAGAGCAGAUGAGUAUUACAAUUCCAAAGGAAACAGUAUUAAUGGGUCUGUGUGGAAAUCAGUUCUUAUUUUCUAAACAAUAUUGCUGAUUUCUAGCUAUUUGAGUAAUUUAUAACCUAAUAGAAGAAAAGAAUACUUAAGGAAAAAUGAUUCAUCAGCAUGAAUUUCAAUUAAAAUAACACAGAACUAAUUUUUCCCUUCUGUCCCAGUACAAUUUCAGGGAAUGAGAAGUAAGCAAAUGGAAACCAAGUUAAACUAGACCAUAAAUAGUAAAAUAUGAAGAAAAAAAUUGACAAAUGGCCAGGAAACCAAAUAAAUAAACAGGUUGAUAUUUUAUUUUUCAUUCUUUUGAAAAUGAUAUAGCAUUCUAGAAUAAUUGAAAAAUUUUGAUCUUGAAUAAAAGACUUCAGGAAGGUUAUUUCUUGGAGAACUUCAAUGAAGGGAAAAGGGGGAAAGCAGCCUACAAAAAAAAUUUAGUAUGUGUUGAAAAUGGUUGUAAGUAGAUCUUUGGUCCCAACAGCACAGCUACUAAACUAUGAUAUACGCCAGACCCAAGAUAUUAAAAAAAAAGCCAUAAUGCAACAAAAGUAAUGAUUGGCAAAACCGAUAAUUCAUUAAAAAUCCAUCAGGCCUCCUAAAGGCCAACUUGGUCAUACCUAUACAAUAAAGAAGUGCUGAAACUCCAAUCAGAGUUACACACAAUAUGUAAGUCAAAUAUCUCUUACCAAAUGUUCCAAUAGAUUUUCUUUUUGUAUUAAAUUCGAAUACUUAGAGUACUGGGUUAUGUUCAAUAAUAGGAAGUCACAGCUAAAAGUCGACAAAGAGAAUAACUGAUUGGAAGAACUUUUUCGAUAACAGGAAAUAUGGACAGUUACCUAGGAACUAGGAAAAUAAAAUGACCUGAUGAACUAGCCAUAUCAUUCAUUCAUUAAUCCAUCCAACAAACAUGGAUUAAGAACCUAUAAUGUGCCAAGUGAUGUACAAAGUCCUGUGUGAGGGACAAAGCAGUUCAAAUUGCUCAGCGGAA